CUAUAGCCCCGAUAGUAGCGGCAUCCUUUUUUGUUUUGUUGAAAUCUGGAUUUGAUGACAAAACUUGAUAAAACAAAAAAGAUAUAGCGGAUAGCGGGAUUAAGC
This 105-nucleotide small RNA is filed under the name Epilithonimonas zeae. Its description in RNAcentral is "Chryseobacterium zeae Flavo-1 RNA". It matches the Rfam family "Flavo-1 RNA". The record is from RNAcentral. Lineage: Bacteria; Pseudomonadati; Bacteroidota; Flavobacteriia; Flavobacteriales; Weeksellaceae.